Molecule: ribosomal RNA, 239 nt
Filed under: uncultured Sphingomonas sp.
Lineage: Bacteria; Pseudomonadati; Pseudomonadota; Alphaproteobacteria; Sphingomonadales; Sphingomonadaceae
Description: partial 16S ribosomal RNA
Rfam family: Bacterial small subunit ribosomal RNA
Source: RNAcentral
CGCACGGGUGCGUAACGCGUGGGAAUCUGCCCCUGGGUUCGGAAUAACAGCGAGAAAUUGCUGCUAAUACCGGAUGAUGACAAAAGUCCAAAGAUUUAUCGCCCAGGGAUGAGCCCGCGUAGGAUUAGCUAGUUGUGAGGUAAGAGCUCACCAAGGCGACGAUCCUUAGCUGGUCUGAGAGGAUGAUCAGCCACACUGGGACUGAGACACGGCCCAGACUCCUACGGGAGGCAGCAGCC